Molecule: long non-coding RNA, 6702 nt
Filed under: Canis lupus familiaris (dog)
Lineage: Eukaryota; Metazoa; Chordata; Mammalia; Carnivora; Canidae
Description: lncRNA (ENSCAFG00845014805.1)
Source: RNAcentral
UCUUUUUUUUUUUUUUUUUAAGAUUUUAUUCAUUUUGAGAGAGAGAGUGAACGAGCAUGAGCAAGGGGGAAGGACAGAGGGAGGAGAAGCAGGGCUUCUCCGAUGGAUGCAGGGCUCGAUCCCAGGACCCUGGGUUCACGACCUGAGCGGAAGGCAGAUGCUUAACUGACAGAGCCAUCCAAGCACCCCAGGAGCCAUUAAUUUCUAAUUAAAUUAGGGGAAUUUUAUUAUGGGUUUCCCCUUAGACUUCAGCCACAAAAAAGUAGCUAGUAAAGAGUAUUCAAUAUUUAAAUUCCAGCACUGUUGUGCAACUAAUAUUUUCCAAAAGGCUGAAAAGGACUGAUACAUACUUUAAUCAGACCUGUAUAGGGCAGAUAUCUGUGUUGACUCACAUGUGAAUACCAAAUGGCACCCUCCAAUAUAGUGAAAAUAUUAAUUUCUGGAAAAACUAUCUUUUCAGGUAUGAAAAGAUCAGCUGCAGUUUUUCAACAACUUGGAGUUUUUUCUGCAUAUUUAGAAAUCAGAAAGGAAUUUAUUGAACAUUAAAGAAAGCACUGAAGGAGGCAGGUUUUUAAAACACAAAAGAUUAAAUAAUCAAUAAUUCAAAGUUUAGACUAAGGGUUUGGGGAACAUGCGACAAUUUUACUGAAAGCAAAACAUCUAGAUUAGUUGAAGAACAAACUGACCUGUGUUGUAGAUACCAGUUCCUAAAUAAACCUUGAGAGAGACCACCAUAUGAGAGAGAGCCAGACUUACCCUAGAAGCAUUCUUCUCUCCCUUAAGGCAAAGUCCUUCAUAAGAGAACAGCAUUCCAUCAUUUGAGGGUACAAAGUACCCAGAAAAGACCAGAAAAGAUAAAGGGGAAAAAAAGUACCAAAAUAAGAUACUACCUGCUGAAAUGCAUAUCCUAAGAAGCCAAUCACAAACUAGUUGAUGUAUCAGGUUUUAGGAAACCUUCAUUGCACCUUUGAGGUUAUAUUAAAUUGGUAUAGUAAGCACUAAGGACACAGCCUAGCAUACAGUCAGUGGAAUGUAAAAUCUACUGCCUUAGACCCACAUUCCCUGAAAAGCAGCAACUGAAUGAAACUAUUUCACUGCUGCCCUUUAGAUGAAGCACAUGGUCCCUAUUUGCCCCAGUCCUCACCCCUCCCUAUUGUAUCCCAGAUACUACAGCCAGGUACUAGCUGCUUCUGAUCACUGCAAGGCACUGCUGUUCUUGGAGUUAACACAAAGGGAUGCUAGUUUUACCCACCUCUCUACCAAAUCACUGACUUCCUGGGAGGGCUUUGAGGUCUGGUUCAUUUAACUCAGUUAUGAGCUUAUUUGACCCACCUGAGCCUAUGACUCUUGCCCUGAAUAAUGCUAUCAAGCUGUUGCUUUUGCCAGGACCAUUCUCUUCUCCCCUUUUCCACCCCCAAUUAGAAUUUAUUUUUCAAGGCUUUUACAGUCUUUCUGAUCUCAUCAGUUAGAAUCUACUGCUUCAUUAUUAUGUGUGCUAAAAUUUUAGAAUGAGUUCUCUGUACUAUGAAUCAUUUGUAGGCCAAUAGUUGAAUCUUCUGAUGUUCUUCCUCAUAACUACAAGGCCUUCCAUUGCUCACAACAUCCAGCUGCAGCUUCUCAACCUCCUUUGUAUUGGAGCCAUGAUCAUCGCCAUCCUGCAUAUACACACAUACAUACAUGUAUGUGUAGGCCUUCAGCAUAGGCCUUAAGUGUGUGUGGGUGGGGGCAGGGGUGCUUUGCUGGGAGAAGGUAGAAAGGACAGAAGAGGCAUUUGUAUGCCUUCCUGAUUUGGAUCUCUUCUACCCACAGGGGCUAUAAAGAAAUGCAGUAAGUGGUAAAGGAGACUGGAAAAGAUGAAGGACAAAGGUUGCUGACUUUCUUCCAGUAUUUCUGGAACUCCCCUCCCCAGCUUCCACUCUGCAAGUCAGGUCUAUGUGACAAGGUAGGAUCUAGAGUGAGGACGAGGAGGAGAAGGAGAAAGGGGUGGUGGGAGGGGGGCAAGAGAUGAGAAUACCUUGUGAGUUCCUUACCCAUGCUCCAUAAUCCUCCACCUCAGAGAGAAAGUCUGCAGCUGCUGAAAGAAUAGGGAAGAGAGGGACACCUGGGUGGCUCAGUGGUUGAGUGCCUGCCUUCAGCCCUGGGCAUGAUCCUUGAGUCCCAGGGUCGAGUCCUGUGUCGGGCUCCCUGCGUGGAGCCUGCUUCUCUCUCUGCCUGUGUCUCUGCCCCCCUCUCUGUGUGUGUCUCUCAUGAAUAAGUAAAUAAAAAUCUUUAAAAAAAAAUAAUAGGAAAGAGAGAAGAUACCAGAGAACAAGGAGCAGUCAAAUCUCCUCAACCUUGCCUGCCAUCUCAAAAGCUUUUAAACCUCCUUCACUCUUAUGUCUGCUUCUCAGUUCCAAUCUUGUCCCUGGCAACAUGAAUGCCUCUUCUCAUGCUUCAGUCUGCUCUUUCUCCUCCAUCCUGAAAUCCACUCCAAGGAGUCACACCUGAGGCUGGAAGAGCAGCUCCUUUGAAGAUGGGACUCUGGUCUUGUUCAACUGGUAUAUAACCAUGCCUACCAUUGCCUGCCUGGUCCAGGAAUCAAAGCCACAUGAAUGGAACUGGAUCAAUAAAAACUCCUGAACUCAAGAAUACUUUUCCUUGUAGGAUUGUUAUUACAAAUGUACUCAGGAAAUCUCUUGACAUACAGAAGAAGGAAAAAUAAACUGUCUGCUAGGGUAUUUCUUCUUUGUCUUGAGGGAGGGAGGGAGGGAGAGAGAGAGAGAGAGAGAGAGAACGAGCCAGCCCAUGAGCAGGAGGAAGGGCAGAGAGAGGAAGAGAGAAUCUUAAGCAGGUUCCAUGCCCAGCAUGGAGCCGACACAAGGCUUGGAUCUCACGCCCCUGAGAUCGAUCACAACCUGAGCAGAAAUUCUGGAGUCCAAUGCUUAAGUGACUGAGCCACCCAGGCAUCCCCUGCACCCCCUUUAUUUUAGUGCUAGAUCUUCUGGGUUCAAGGUACUCGGUUGCAAAUUAUUCUCAUGUACUUGUUUCUUGAGAUGAGGUGACAAGUUUUUCAUCUAACAAAGUCACCUGCAAAAAUAUUUAAAUCUAUUACCCAAAAUACUUUAAAAACAAAUAUCUUGAAAAGAAUUGAGGUCAACUUCACAGUUAACUUGAAGGUUUUUCUCUUCUAGCCCUUAGGAAAGUGGGGAUAAGAACUAAGGUGUUUUCCAACAGGCGAAAAGAUCUUCCUAACAUUCUGUAAGUCAUGAAUGGCUGUAUUUUGAAAAUGAGCAGAUAUUUGAGCUUAGUGCAAAGACUAAACCCGAAAAACAUCUAAGUUUGGAAGCAGGUCUGCAAAGAGCUGUUUGAGAACACUCACACAUUGAUAAGAAUCCCAAAAGCAUGUGUGGCUUUGACUGCCAUUCCUUAUCCCUCCUUAUUUUUAUCUAACUUAGUUCCCAGGCUCCUGACUCAUUACAUUAAAAGACAAGCUGUUUCAGAUGACCUUGUAGGUACAGAAUAAAAAGAGCAAUUGACAAAAAAGAAGAAAAAAUGUACAGUGCAGAGAUGUUGCUAUUUAUGAAAGGAAACAUUGACUGUUUGGGGCAAGAAAGAGCAAGACUGUCUUCUGUCCUGGCCCUGGGAGCCUUCCCUCUAUAACAGCCAACACUGCCAGUGGGCUGACAACAUAUACCAGGCAUUGUUCUACGUACUUUUCAUAUGCCAACAAUCCUACAAGGGAAAUGCGAUUAUUACCCCAUUUUACAGAUGAGGAAACUGAAGUAUUGAGAGACUCAUUAUUUGCUCAAGGUCACAGAGCAAGGAGGGAAAGGGGACAGGAGGUAGACAAACAGCAGAAGUCUGGCUCCAGACAACAUGCUUUUAUCUUCUCAACCCUUACUCCAUUUGACUCUCUUUUGCUCGCUUCUCCAUUAUCUUCCCUCCCUCCUGCAAAUGCUCCAGCUUCACCCACAGCAGCAUUAUAAGCUCAGCAGUUGCUGAUCCCCUGGUCUGGUGAAACCCUAGCCAGGUCUCAGCCUUCUCAGACCUUUCCUUUGAUUAAAGAUAACACGGAUUAGCAGCAAGCUGCGAAAUGGGCAGGAGUCCACAGAUUAGAGCCCAGCCAACUUUCCAUUCCUGAAACCGUCUCCCCCUUUUAUUAGCACCACUCACAUGCCCAGCCGGGAAGGUUGUCUUCUUCAUGGGAUCUUCAAUUAUCCCUCGAUCCUAACACAAUCUGUGCAAACAAGGCUGACUCCUGUCAUCUACUCUUUGAUCGGGAAGCAAACAAAACAAACUUCUAAUCGUAAUAUCAUUUGCAAUACCAUUAUCCUGAGAUAAUAUAGAAUUACUUAGGAGUUCAGUACUGAACAUAAUCAGUUCACUUCUGAAUGUCUGCUCGGCAACAAAAAUGUGCUAAGUACUACCCAGUAUAUCAAUAUGAAUAAUUUAUCAAUCCUUCCCUCCUACUAAAUUUCCCUUCUUUGAAAUUCUUUACUCCUAUUUUCUACUAUGUCAACUAUUCCAGAUUGAGUAGCUGAGAAUCAGGAGAGACACUCGGGGUUGGGCCCCUCAGGAAGCAGAUGGGACCUCUGAGUUGUAAAACUGAAAACAGCUUGAAUACUUUGUUAGAAAACCAGAUGCAGAAGAAAUAUGAGCUUGUACUAUGCAUAUUAUGCACCAUGAAACCAAACCAAUUUAUAAGUACUCCACUGAAACUCCAGAUAGAACUACCAGAAAGUCUUUAGUAAAGAAUGUUAAAGUCACUGAAACCAUGAAGACCGUAACUGCACAAUUUUCAUCAUUACUGAUUUAAGAAUUGCCAAAGGAGACAUAUGCCCUUCCAUGUAUACCGAUUUCAUUUUAGCGAGUAACUUUCAUAGGUGGUCAAAUGAUAGCCACUCCUCCAAGUAUAUUGAAGUCUUAGAACAGCAAUUUCUCAAAUAAUGGAGGUUUUCAGAAAGAGAACUUUAGUUUACACGUAGGGAAGACACAACUUUACAAAUUGCUAAGAUAAAAGGUACAACAUCAAAGCCACGAGAAAGAAACCUGCCUUGUAUGUAGGUAGGCCGGAAGAAAGAGAGACAUGGAGAGAGAAAGAAAAAAAGAGUGAGCAAUUGAGGGACGCCUGGGUGGCCCAGAGGUUGGACAUCUGCCUUUGGCUCAGGGCGUGAUCCCCAGGUCCUGGGAUUGAGUUCCACAUCAGGCUCCUCUCGGGAAGCCUGCUUCUCCCUCUGCCUGUGCCCCUGCCUCUCUCUCUGUGUCUCUCAUGAAUGGAUAAAUAAUAAAAUAUUAAAAAAAAAAAAAAAAGAAAGAGCAAUAGAUUUCCUACUGAAGAGAAAAGAAAGGCUGCAUACACCUUGAAGAAGUCCUAUUUGGGCAGGUCAGGUGUGAGGGCGGGACAGAGAAUGUGGCCCUAGCAGAGGUAAUAGCCCUGCAGUAUCAAGAAGGGCAAGAGUCAUAAAUUUAGGUGCUGACCCGUGUCAGGCAGGUACCAUAUUAAGUGUGAAGUGUACCAGAGGAACUUACAGCCUUCUCAGCUCUUUGACUCGGCAGCGAGGUGGGUUAAAACGUUAUUUUCCUCUAAGAAAAACAACAGGGCUACGCAGUGGUAGCUGGCUGGCUGCAUUAUCCCAGAGCAAUAUGGAGUGGUGAGGCCUGUGGCAAGCAUUCCUCUUCCACAGGGGUUAGUUCACUAAGUGUAUGUAUCCAACCUGUCUGGGGGAAUUUGGGAAUGUGAACCCAAUGUGAGCAGAUUUUCUGUGUUUUCCUAAGAAAAGCUGGAAAUUUGGAUUUUUACACACCUUGCAAUGUUUUAGCGUGUGCUCCUAUAAAUUUUAUAAUAAUACUGUAAUAAUAAUACAAUAAUAUUGCCACCAACAAUACUUUACAAUAAUACCAAGCAGGCCAACAAAACAGGUUUGAGGAUGAGGUUUGAGGGCCAUGUGAUAUAUGGCUUCUGAGGAGGUGGGAGGAAGAUGGGAUUAUAGAUAGCAAAGGCCUGGACUUUCCAUCCCAGAUUGAUUCCACCGUAGCCUGGGAAAACUGCUUAAACUCCCUCAGGUCAGCACCUGGCUCCAGAGAGAUACUUGGAGACUAAAUUAACAGCCUACGCAGAAAGGCAGAGGAGUGCAGUCUUAAGAAAGAACGGUGAUGAUAUUAAACAUCUUUUCAUGUAUUUGCCACCUGCAUACCUUCUUCAGGGAUGGGUUUAAUUCUUUCAUUUUCUGAUUGCAUUGUAUCUUUGUAUUGUUGAGUUUUAUUAGUCCUUUAUUAAACACAUGGUUUGCAAAUAUUUGUCUUCAGUCAGUAGUUUGCCUUUAUAUCCUUUGUAACAGGAUCCUCUGGAGAACAAAAGUUUUUAAUUUUGACUACAUCCAAUUUUUCAAAUUUUCCUUUUAUAGAUUAUACUUUUUGGUGUCAAGUCUAAGACCAUUAUAUCUAGCUCUAGAUCUUAAAGAUUUGUUCCUCUGUCUUUUGCCUAGAGCUUUAUCCUUUCAUUCUUUGCAUCUAUCUAUCUAUCUAUCUAUCUAUCUAUCUAUCUAUCUAUCUAAUUUACUUUUUUUGCGGACUUACCAGUACUUUAAUGAUAAUCCUCUUCUGUGCCUAUUUUGGAAAACUUUGUAUUUGCUAUUUACCCUAUUUCUAGUGCCAAUUUUUUUUAAUAAUAAAUUUAUUUUUUAUUGGUGUUCAAUUUGCCAACAUACAGAAUAACACCCAGUG